This 295-nucleotide unclassified non-coding RNA is filed under the name uncultured Ascomycota. RNAcentral describes it as "sequence contains ITS1". The stretch from base 1 to 105 matches the Rfam family "5.8S ribosomal RNA", at positions 50 to 154 of the family's 154-position model. Lineage: Eukaryota; Fungi; Ascomycota. The record is from RNAcentral.
GAAAUGCGAUAAGUAAUGUGAAUUGCAGAAUUCAGUGAAUCAUCGAAUCUUUGAACGCACAUUGCGCCCUUUGGUAUUCCGAAGGGCAUGCCUGUUCGAGCGUCAUUAUAACCACUCAAGCCUUCGCUUGGUCUUGGGGUACGCGGUCCCGCGGCCCCUAAAAUCAGUGGCGGUGCCUGUCGGCUCUACGCGUAGUAAUACUCCUCGCGAUUGAGACCGGCGGGCCGCUUGCCAGCAACCCCUAAAUUUUUUUCAGGUUGACCUCGGAUCAGGUAGGGAUACCCGCUGAACUUAA